Molecule: ribosomal RNA, 468 nt
Filed under: uncultured bacterium
Lineage: Bacteria
Description: partial 16S ribosomal RNA
Rfam family: Bacterial small subunit ribosomal RNA
Source: RNAcentral
GACGAACGCUGGCGGCGUGCUUAACACAUGCAAGUCGAACGGAAAGGCCCUGCUUUUGUGGGGUGCUCGAGUGGCGAACGGGUGAGUAACACGUGAGUAACCUGACCUUGACUUUGGGAUAACUUAAGGAAACUGGGGCUAAUACCGGAUAGGAGCUCCUGCUGCAUGGGGGGGGUUGGAAAGUUUCGGCGGUUGGGGAUGGACUCGCGGCUUAUCAGCUUGUUGGUGGGGUAGUGGCUUACCAAGGCUUUGGCGGGUAGCCGGCCUGAGAGGGUGUCCGGCCACAUUGGGACUGAGAUACGGCCCACACUCCUACGGGAGGCAGCAGUGUGGAAUAUUGCACAAUGGGCGGAAGCCUGAUGCAGCAACGCCGCGUGCGGGAUGACGGCCUUCGGGUUGUAAACCGCUUUCGCCUGUGACGAAGCGUGAGUGACGGUAAUGGGUAAAGAAGCACCGGCUAACUACGUG